RNAcentral lists this ribosomal RNA (460 nucleotides) under uncultured bacterium. RNAcentral describes it as "partial 16S ribosomal RNA". It matches the Rfam family "Bacterial small subunit ribosomal RNA", at positions 338 to 795 of the family's 1533-position model. The record is from RNAcentral.
CCUACGGGGGGCAGCAGUGAGGAAUAUUGGUCAAUGGACGCAAGUCUGAACCAGCCAUGCCGCGUGCAGGAAGACGGCUCUAUGAGUUGUAAACUGCUUUUGUACGAGGGUAAAUCCCGAUACGUGUAUCGGGUUGAAAGUAUCGUACGAAUAAGCAUCGGCUAACUCCGUGCCAGCAGCCGCGGUAAUACGGAGGAUUCAAGCGUUAUCCGGAUUUAUUGGGUUUAAAGGGUGCGUAGGCGGUUCGAUAAGUUAGCGGUGAAAGCCCGGGGCUCAACGCCGGCACUGCCUCUGAUACUGUCGGGCUAGAGUUGAGUUGCGGUAGGCGGAAUGUAUGGUGUAGCGGUGAAAUGCAUAGAGAUCAUACAGAACACCGAUUGCGAAGGCAGCUUACCAAACUACGACUGACGUUGAGGCACGAAAGCGUGGGGAGCAAACAGGAUUAGAUACCCGGGUAGUC